RNAcentral lists this ribosomal RNA (292 nucleotides) under uncultured bacterium. RNAcentral describes it as "partial 16S ribosomal RNA". It matches the Rfam family "Bacterial small subunit ribosomal RNA", at positions 505 to 796 of the family's 1533-position model. The record is from RNAcentral.
GUGUCAGCCGCCGCGGUAAUACGUAGGCAGCAAGCGUUGUUCGGAAUUACUGGGCGUAAAGAGUGUGUAGGUGGUGUCGUAAGUUUGGUGUGAAAUCUCCCGGCUUAACUGGGAGGGUGCGCCGAAGACUGCGAUGCUUGAGUAUGGGAGAGGAAAGCGGAAUUCCUGGUGUAGCGGUGAAAUGCGUAGAUAUCAGGAGGAACACCUGCGGUGUAGACGGCUUUCUGGACCAUUACUGACACUGAGACACGAAAGCGUGGGUAGCAAACAGGAUUAGAAACCCCAGUAGUCC